GGCAGGCAGACCAAAAAAAAAUACCAGUAUUUGGAAAAAAUUUUUUUUCCCUGUCCUUUUCUCCAUUUUUUGAUUUCUUUCUUCUUUGCCCUUUUAAGAAAUGUUUAAAGGAGUUUGGUAAAAGUUUCAGCCACCCCUACCCCGGCUACUCCCAUCUGAGCCCUGGUUCCCCCGACCUCUCCAGCCUCCUCGUCGCCGUCAAUCCGACAGUUCCUCCUCUUGAUGAUUACUGUUAGUUUCUGCAUUGAAGAUACGGUUGUGCAAGUGAAUCAAGACAAUCAGUCAAAUGGCCUUAACCAACUUCAUACUCACGGUGGCCGUAUCAGUGCUAUGAUUCUGCUGCUUAGGAGUGACGUCAAGCAAUCUGCCACCAUCUUCAGACACAACGUCCGACAGAUACGCCAUUGGCUUGAGGAAGAGUCUGCUUCUGCUGCAAAGGAGAUGGAGAGGGCAAAGCCAAAGGAGAUGCCUGGAAAGGAUGCACCCAAGGAGGAAAAGCACUCUCGUAAGGGGAAGGGGAGCCAAAGAAGCCUUGUGUCCAAAGAAAGCCUUGUGUGUUAGGGACUAGUAGCAGUAUUAUCACAAUGUAAAAGUAUAGGUGGUACAGGUUUAUUCCAAACGGGAAUUUCAGAUAAUAAAUCCCUUAACCAACUGGCCUCUUCACUGGCAGAAGGUUUGUUUUAGGAAAGAAACAAAAAGAAAAAGAAGAAAAAGAGAAGAUAAAAUCUCUCCCUAAUUAUUUCUUUUUGACCAAAUACACUAUUGAUUCAUUUUUACACUCAAUAUCUCCCUACAUCUUUCUUUUCAUUUGGUGAGGAACCCAUCAUUUGAUUAACAGAAAUUCCACUCAUUUGCUUGGACUCUCUCGACUCAUUGGCAAACGGCCAACACAUAAACACAGUAAACAAACAACUCCCAAGCUUCCCGCUGAAUUUUUAACAACAACAUAAACUUACCAACUCUGCUCUGUCUCUCGGCUUUUCCUUUUUUUUUCCCUCAACAGACGAACACGCACAAAAAGAAGGAAAUCUCCCUCACCCUCUCUCGGCUCUAUCACUCCCUUUUUUUCAAUUCACACAACACACCCACACACAACUCAAACACAACAAAGCAAGCAACAAAGGAGUGAAGCUUGGGAGUUCCUUCAAAAAUUUGACUGAGAAGCUCUUGCUUGGAUUGAGCAUUACAACAUAAAUCUCAAGAUAUUUUGAAUGCACUGCAUCUUGUCUCAAGCACAACAAAGCUACUGAAGAAUUUUCGAGAUUUGGGAUGGGAUGAUUUCUCUGUGAAUGUUAAAUUAUUUUGUGAGCAACAUCAAAUUGAUAUCCCAUGCAUGAAUGCUCAAUAUAUUGCAAGACGUGGUAGAUCUCGAAGUCAUCAUGAUGAGAUUAGUGUGGAGCAUUAUUAUCGAGUGGAUAUAUUUCUUACAACAAUUGAUUAUCAAUUGCAAGAGUUACAUAGCAGGUUUAAUGAUCAUACCGUGGAAUUGCUUAUUUUGAGCACUGCUUUAAAUCCUAGAAAUGGAUUUAUGCUGUUCAAAAUUGAUGAUAUUUGUAAACUUGCAGAGAAGUUCUAUCCAAAUGAUUUUAUGGAGCAAGAACUAGAACGUCUAAGAAUAGAACUUCAACAUUUUGAGUUCGACAUUCCAAAUCAUCCUGAAUUGCAAGAAUUAUCUGGUAUUAAUGAGUUUAUGUCAAGGCUUGGUGAAGACAAGAAAAUCAGUGAUAUAUCCUGUUAUUGAUAGAUUGAUUAGACUUGUUCUUACUCUUCCUGUAUCAACUGCAACUUCAGAGCGGGCAUUUUCAAUUAUAAAAAUAAUCAAGACAAAGCUCCAAAACAAGAUGGAAGAUAAUUUCUUGAAUGA
RNA transcript from Coffea arabica (coffee), 1864 nucleotides. RefSeq lists it as uncharacterized. Lineage: Eukaryota; Viridiplantae; Streptophyta; Magnoliopsida; Gentianales; Rubiaceae. The record is from RefSeq and is a predicted model, not a curated record.